This 791-nucleotide long non-coding RNA is filed under the name Anser brachyrhynchus (Pink-footed goose). Its description in RNAcentral is "lncRNA (ENSABRG00000020037.1)". The record is from RNAcentral. Lineage: Eukaryota; Metazoa; Chordata; Aves; Anseriformes; Anatidae.
CACCUUGAGAUAAAGUAUUGAUUGCUUUUUAGUUGUGAUUUUGGUUUACAUAAAUUGUUGUCUCUUCAGUCAGAAAACAUGUGUAGGCCAAGUGUUAACACAUCGUGAUGCCAGGGCUUCCAGUGGGUCAGCAGUCGUUCCUCUCUUUCUGACAAGUGUGCUUUAACAGUUGUCUCUGCCCUGGUUUUCCAGAAAAGAAGAAAAGGUGGGGAUGAAAAUUUAAACUACCGCAAAUACUGACACUUUUGUUUUAUGAAUUAUGAAUUGAGUUUGGUAAGAAUUUUCCUUUGCGUCUGUCAGAUUGUAAACUCUUUUUCAGAUAGAGCAUUGUUUGAUACCUUCUUUGUCUUUUAUUUCCAUGUUGAAAUAAAGCCUUGAGGAGCUUACAGCAGAAACUUCUAUACCUGGUAGAAUGAAUUAUUGACGGUCAUCCUCUUACACAUGGCACAACUGGACAAAGGGAAUGCUCUGCUCAGUGCAAAACAGCUGGGGAGAGAAAGAGAAGGAAACCUAUUUUUCAGAGUUCAUGUCUGGUCACUAGUAGUAAAGUAUAGAGCUAUGUGGGAGCGCACAUGCCUGUCUCUGCUGCUCUCUUAAUAAAGCCAGGUAUUUUUUUCACUGUAAGAGUCAUCCAAAACAGACCCAACGACCUGGCCACCAGCCCACAAAACUGAUGGUUAAGGUGAAUGAUUCUGAGCAGGACACUGCUGAAGUUUAGUGGUUUUUAACCAGGUGACCUUAACUAAUUUUACAGUAAGCCUAAGUAAAAAAUGGUAGCAGAUAAAUACAGC